Molecule: long non-coding RNA, 981 nt
Filed under: Chinchilla lanigera (long-tailed chinchilla)
Lineage: Eukaryota; Metazoa; Chordata; Mammalia; Rodentia; Chinchillidae
Description: lncRNA (ENSCLAG00000025541.1)
Source: RNAcentral
GGUCAACAAUAGCUCGGGUUUCCGAAAGGAAGAAAGUCUAGAGGAAGACUGUCAGCUUAUCCAUAUACGGGAGCCUCGGUUUAGAGGCGAGCUGGCACAAACCCCUCUGCCAGGGCAGAUGUGUGGGCGGACGACUGUGUGCCAUGCACAGACAGGGCCAGCCUAGCCAUGGGCGAAACAUUAGCGGCAUCAAAGGGAGACCAACCACGACUGACAAAGCCACAACUAUUAAUGUGCAAUAUGCCCCGCAGGCACGGGUCUCUGUGCCAGAAUCUCCCCGGGCUUAUUUUCAGCGAAGUGACUAACAACCUCGUCUCCGGAAAAAAUCCACAAAGUAGCCAAGACUGGAGCAACUGCCUUUUACGAAAAGACUAAGAACCAUUCAGCACAGAAGUGAAAGCUGAGACAGAACGGGUUGAACGCAAAGGCCGUGGGAUAAGAGCCAUAGCUCUUCACCUCUUACAACAGCUGGAAAGAAGAAUCAGCUUUGAGAGGUUUACACUCAAGCUCACUAAUACUCUAAGGAGUAUGUCCAAAAUGAACCAGAAUAAAGGUUAUUGUUGUCAUGGAACCUACACUUUUAUUAUAAUCUCAUGGUGGCCCCUGCCCCCACUCCCAGGAUUGCACUAGCAAGAGUCCAAGGGCCUUGCUUGCUUACAGAGUAGACAGGAAAAAUAAAAAUAAUUGAGGUCAUGACACGUGCUACUCGUGUUGCAAACAGAGCUUAGAAAACUGGAUGAGUGAACCAUCCUGAUGAUGAGUUAAGAUGUUUGCUACUCUUUGUCUCAUGGGUACUAUUUUCAAGGAAAUGCUGUUAGCGUCCCUUGAAGACACCAUUCGAUUCCAUGCUUUUGGGCAGUACCUCUCUGCCCUAGCCCUACUGUAACCUCCCAGUGGCAACAUCUGCUCAGCAACGGGCCUGCUGUAAGGAGGGGCACAAUGGACUUCAUUUCCCUUUCCUUUCGACCCUUUUCCAGAGGA